GGCGUCGAAAUGAACUCUCCUGCCUACGCUCAACCCUUUUGGAAAUCUGUACGGAUCGCGUGUAUUUUCCCUUCCGAAGCAGCCGGUGGGUCUGCAGGCAGACCUCCCUUCAUCCCCUGCCACAGGGAAAGGCAAAAGAAAGAAUAAAUCUCCCCUUUGCCUGUGCCUGAGCAAAAGAAUUCCAUCCCUGCAGCCAGAGAGGAAGACUUUGCCUUUUCCAGUGCCACAGAUAAAUGUGUAAACAAAGACAUUUCCUGUGCUGGUACAAAGAAAUAAACACUUUCCCCAGCCCCUCCUGUCGCAGAGAGAAAACAAUCCUACCUUUUCCCGCCCACACCCACCCAACCUUUUCCCUUCCCUGCAGCGGAAGACAAGCUUUGUUUCCCUCUAUAACCCCAGAUGUACACAGACACCACGAUUUUCCCUUCCCUUCACUGUCAGGGCUAGAAAUGCUGUUUUCUGGUGUCUGUUGGUAUUUUCCCGUUGUUUUCACAAACAGCACGUGCGCAUCAAAAGUAUCUAAAUUACUUGCAGCAUCGGUGUUCUUUGGGAGAUACCUUCAACAUUCAGGGAUUGGUGGAGGAAAAAGUACUUUUCUGGCUAUCCUAAGGAGGGGAAGGGGAACAGCCUUGGUCACAUUCCGGCUAGAUAAGAAAAACUGAAGUUGAUGUCAGUUAAUCUCUUCAGAGGGCUUGCGGGAUUUCUUUCUUCGCCAUCUUAAAGGAUGUGUGUUCUCUAUGAACUCACAGACAGCUUCAUGCAUGUUCUGGGAUUAGUUACACCUCUCCAUCAAGAUAAGAGAAAGCCUGCAUCCUGUUUCAAACCCCUUACGGUCAGACAGGCACCUAAGCAGCCCUGCAGAUGGGAAGGUGCUAUCUAAGCCGGACACAGGUUGUUCACCACAGUGGCCACCUAAAGAAGAGGGGGAAGGAGCUGGGCUGCAGGUGGGGUCACAGAGCUGCCCACUGCAAGGGAAAAGCAAGGAAGCAUCUGUCCUGAUGAGGCUUAGGAUGGGCUGUUACAGACACAUAAGUCACUACAUCUACUGCAGCACUAAAACAAGAAAUGGUGUUUUAUUGGUCAGUGAAGAUACUCAGAUCCUGUGAGUCUGCAAGCAUAUGAAAAAAGUGAACCUCUGGAACAAGAAAGGAAGGAAAUACGUGUGCCGUUGGCUCUUCCUGUGUGAACCCUUCCACCUCACCUGUGAAGCUCGUCCAUUCCCCCAGCUAUGCAAAGAAGGAAGAUGGGAGAAGUGCAAAGAUAUCAUUUAGAACUACUGGCUCUCGUUCAAGUGUUGCUCUUUCCUGAAGAAAUCCUAUAAAAUAACCGUCACUGCAAGAUUACUGUGCAGUUGAUCAUUAGGAUUUCUACCAAACUAUUUUGGAGAGAAACUACGAGGUUAUUAAACUCUAUGUCAUUCUCUGAA
Molecule: RNA transcript, 1426 nt
Organism: Gallus gallus (chicken)
Lineage: Eukaryota; Metazoa; Chordata; Aves; Galliformes; Phasianidae
Gene name: basic proline-rich protein-like
Exons: 4
Source: RefSeq, a predicted model, not a curated record